This is an RNA transcript of Myotis lucifugus (little brown bat), 1057 nucleotides long. It is a transcript of the gene named centrin 3, with no coding region annotated. Lineage: Eukaryota; Metazoa; Chordata; Mammalia; Chiroptera; Vespertilionidae. The transcript is spliced from 6 exons. The record is from RefSeq and is a predicted model, not a curated record.
CUCGAGGGCGGUCCCCGAGGCCGCUGAGAUUGUGGGUGUCUGUUGAGCGGCUGGCGGGAGUCGUGCUACCUUGAGUAGGGGUUAAAGUCGUUCUUGAGAGGGACGUCUGUGUCCGGAGAGAAAAUGAGUUUAGCUCUGAGAAGUGAACUUGUAGACAAAACAAAGAGGAAAAAAAGAAGAGAACUCUCUGAAGAACAGAAACAAGAAAUUAAAGAUGCUUUUGAACUAUUUGACACGGACAAAGAUGAAGCAAUAGAUUAUCAUGAAUUAAAGGUGGCAAUGAGAGCCUUGGGGUUUGAUGUAAAAAAAGCUGAUGUACUGAAGAUUCUUAAAGAUUAUGACAGAGAAGCCACAGGGAAAAUCACCUUUGAAGAUUUUAAUGAAGUUGUGACAGACUGGAUAUUGGAAAGAGAUCCACAUGAAGAAAUAUUGAAGGCAUUUAAACUAUUUGAUGAUGAUGAUUCAGGUAAAAUAAGCUUGAGGAAUUUGCGACGUGUUGCCAGAGAAUUGGGUGAAAACAUGAGUGAUGAAGAACUUCGGGCUAUGAUAGAAGAAUUUGAUAAAGAUGGUGAUGGAGAAAAAUGAAGCAGACCUUUGAAACCAACUAUAUAGAUUGUAAUAUGAGGUUCCACACUUAAAAAAGUAAAUCAAGAGGAGUUCAUUGCUAUUAUGACUGGUGACAUUUAAAGAAUUACAAGGAAAAACACUAAGAAUGUUGCAGUUAUCAUCUUAUAUUCUAUUUUUGUGCUUGGAGGCAUGUAAAAACACACACCCCAACUUAGUUUUUGUUUUUUUCCAAAAGGGACCAAAAAUAAGCAUCUUAUGUAUUCAUAUUUUACUACUGUUAAGUUUCUUUGUAUGAAAAAGUAUUGUUAGCACUCUAAUAGUUCAUAGCAUUGUAAUUAUAAUAUAGCUUUUUAUAUAUAUAAAGUUUAAAAAAUUGAAUCGUGGUACAAAUUAUUUGAAGGUUUUUUAAUUGGCAUUAGUCCCUUUUGUUUUGGUGUACAUGUUUUUCAGACUUUCAUUAAUAAAAUGUUUAUUUUAUUAGUAUUUUAAA